CCUACGGGAGGCAGCAGUAGGGAAUCUUUCACAAUGGGCGAAAGCCUGAUGGAGCAACGCCGCGUGCAGGAUGAAGGCCUUCGGGUUGUAAACUGCUUUUAUAAGCGAGAAAUAUGAUGGUAACUUAUGAAUAAGGAUCGGCUAACUACGUGCCAGCAGCCGCGGUCAUACGUAGGAUCCGAGCAUUAUCCGGAGUGACUGGGUGUAAAGAGUUGCGUAGGUGGCAUAAUAAGUAGCUAGUGAAAUCUGGUGGCUCAACCAUUCAGACUAUUAGCUAAACUGUUAAGCUCGAGACCGUUAGGGGUAACUGGAAUUUCUAGUGUAGGAGUGAAAUCCGUAGAUAUUAGAAGGAACACCAAUAGCAUAGGCAGGUUGCUGGGACGGUUCUGACACUAAGGCACGAAAGCGUAGGGAGCAAACGGGAUUAGAUACCCCAGUAGUC
Molecule: ribosomal RNA, 442 nt
Filed under: uncultured bacterium
Lineage: Bacteria
Description: partial 16S ribosomal RNA
Rfam family: Bacterial small subunit ribosomal RNA
Source: RNAcentral